UUGUAGUCCUGAGGAGGCGUGGAGACAAGGGAGGAGGAAAUGUUGAGUGUCAAAAUGGGUGUGGUUUGAAAGCCAAAAUGUUGACUACGUCUUCCAUGCCAGUCAUUUAUUAAGAGCGCUGCUUGUGAACAAGCAGCGGUGCAGGUUUGGACUAAAAUAUAGCGUUUUUGUUGAUUAGCUGACCAAACAAUAUGCCAAAUGGCGUCUUUCUAAAAUGCUGCAUGCAUUUCAUCUCAAUUAGCCAGCCACUAUGUUUUUGGUCAAUAUAAUUAGCUAGAGGUCACUUAAAUUAGCUAGAGGGUAGGUUUGAGGUCACCCAAAUUAGCUCGCUAGUCGGAUUGAAGUCACCUGAAUAAGCGAGCUGGUAGGUUUGAGGUGUCCCGAGUCAGCUAGCCGGUAGGUUUAAGGUCACUUGACAUAGCUAGAGGGUAGGUUUGAGGUCCCCUAAAUUAGUUCAGAUGGUAGGAUUGAGGUCACCUGAAUUAGCUUAGAGGGCAACAUUGAGGUCACCUGAAUUAGCCAGAGGGUAGGUUUGAGGUCACCUGAAUUAGCUAGCCGGAAGGUUUGAGGACACCUGAAUUAGCUAUGGGUUAGGUUUGAGGUCACCUGAAUUAGCUAGCCGGUAGGUUUGCAGUCACCUGAAUUAGCCAGAAGUCACCUGAAUUAGCUCGCUAGUAGGUUUGAGGUCACCUGAAUUAGCCAGCGAGUAGGUUUGACCCCAUGUACUAAAGUGUGACUAACCAAUUCAUCAAAACGUCUGAUUUGGUUUAAAGUCACAAAAAAGGUUUUGUAGAACCACAAUGUGGGCAUUUAGUGCAUUGUGAACAGGCCUACUGCCAGGCAUGAUGGGUAAACGCACCUGGAGGAUCUUCUGCACACCACGGGCGACGUCGUAGUGCUCAGAGCCCACAAUGUUGGGGUCCAUGAUACGGGAGGUGGAAUCAAGGGGGUCCACGGCGGGGUAGAUACCCAGCUCAGCAAUGGCACGAGACAGCACGGUAGUGGCGUCAAGAUGGGCGAAGGUGGUGGCGGGCGCGGGGUCAGUCAGAUCGUCAGCGGGCACAUAGAUGGCCUG
Molecule: long non-coding RNA, 1075 nt
Organism: Gadus macrocephalus (Pacific cod)
Lineage: Eukaryota; Metazoa; Chordata; Actinopteri; Gadiformes; Gadidae
Exons: 2
Source: RefSeq, a predicted model, not a curated record